AGUGGGAAGCCCAGGCUUCUACUCCAGUCUAUCUCCUGUCUCCACACCUCCUCCACUCCUUCACCUCCCUCUUCUCUCCUAAUGGCUCAGCACACCACAGUGAUCUUGCCAUGCUGGAGGGGCCCCGUGUUUCCUUUCUCUGCAUACCUGACCUCUUCAGCUAUAGUGCGGUCUACCCUAGCUCCUGCCGGCCUGGGAAUCACCCAUUUAGACCUACACCAAUCAGGAGUGUGGAUGGGACCGUGGACCACAGAGGGUCUGGAUUCCAGAGGGUGGAAUGCCCAAGGCCUGUGCUGACAUGAAGCAAACCUUCUACUCUCUCAACUUGCUUUCUCAUCUGGAGAGUGACAUAUCCACCCUGACCAGGCACCCAUCAUCCUCGUGGUUCAGAGAAGUACACCAAGGCACAGGGUUACAGUACAUGAUUGUGGCUGACCAGAGACAGGUUUUUAACCCAAACCUUCGAGUCCAGAGCUGCGAUGACAUCUCCCUUUACGUGGGCUGCAUGACUGUUGAGCGCUAGUUGCAAACAGGCUAUUGGAUGUAUGUGGACACGGACCCUUAUUUACAUGCCUGAAUAAAAUCAGAAGAUUUUACAGUUAA
This is a long non-coding RNA of Peromyscus eremicus (cactus mouse), 603 nucleotides long. RefSeq lists it as uncharacterized. The transcript is spliced from 2 exons. NCBI's taxonomy places the organism in Eukaryota, Metazoa, Chordata, Mammalia, Rodentia, Cricetidae. The record is from RefSeq and is a predicted model, not a curated record.